RNAcentral lists this ribosomal RNA (429 nucleotides) under Gemmatimonadota bacterium. RNAcentral's name for it is "Gemmatimonadetes bacterium partial 16S ribosomal RNA". It matches the Rfam family "Bacterial small subunit ribosomal RNA", at positions 355 to 776 of the family's 1533-position model. The record is from RNAcentral. Lineage: Bacteria; Pseudomonadati; Gemmatimonadota.
UAGGGAAUCUUCGGCAAUGGACGAAAGUCUGACCGAGCAACGCCGCGUGAGUGAAGAAGGUUUUCGGAUCGUAAAACUCUGUUGUUAGAGAAGAACAAGGACGUUAGUAACUGAACGUCCCCUGACGGUAUCUAACCAGAAAGCCACGGCUAACUACGUGCCAGCAGCCGCGGUAAUACGUAGGUGGCAAGCGUUGUCCGGAUUUAUUGGGCGUAAAGCGAGCGCAGGCGGUUUCUUAAGUCUGAUGUGAAAGCCCCCGGCUCAACCGGGGAGGGUCAUUGGAAACUGGGAGAAUUGAGUGCAGAAGAGGAGAGUGGAAUUCCAUGUGUAGCGGUGAAAUGCGUAGAUAUAUGGAGGAACACCAGUGGCGAAGGCGGCUCGCUGGUCUGUAACUGACGCUGAGGCUCGAAAGCGUGGGGAGCAAACAGG